Long non-coding RNA from Lontra canadensis (Northern American river otter), 530 nucleotides. RefSeq lists it as uncharacterized. The transcript is spliced from 2 exons. The record is from RefSeq and is a predicted model, not a curated record. Lineage: Eukaryota; Metazoa; Chordata; Mammalia; Carnivora; Mustelidae.
AGUUAUUCUUAAAGAUGAUCUUAUUGUUCUACCUUUAUGAUUUACAUUUUAAGAACACUGCUUUUGCAGCUGGUGGAAAAUAGCUUGAGUUGACAAGAGAGUUGAUGGGAAGGACAGUUAGUUUACACUCAGGGUCCCGGAGAGAGACGGUGGUAAUCUAGCAUACCUUUCACCAGGACGAAGGCAGUGAAGUUGCUGAUGGAUUGAAGAGUGAGGAAAAGGAGUAACUGAAGAUGAGGGGCUUGAGCAACUGUGUGAGUCUCCAGCCUCACUGCUCCCUAAAGCAUUGGAGACUUAACUAUGCUGAAAUUCAAUCUCCUUUAAAUAAUAUGUAAGAAAGCAAAAGAGGAAAGUUUACUGGGCAUUUACAUCUCAAUUCUGUCAAUCCUAUGAUGUAUAUAUAUGGUAUACACAUUUUUGCAGAUAAGCAGAGAAUAAGGUAAAUAAUCUAUAGAUUUUGAUUCAAAUUAUUAUACUCCAAACCCCAAAGCUAGGCUCUGCAUUAAAAAAACGUAUUGUCAAAAAAAAAA